UCUGCCAGUAGUCAUAUGCUUGUCUCAAAGAUUAAGCCAUGCAUGUCUCAGUACAAGCCAAAUUAAGGUGAAACCGCGAAAGGCUCAUUAUAUCAGUUAUGGUUCCUUAGAUCGUACCCACAUUUACUUGGAUAACUGUGGUAAUUCUAGAGCUAAUACAUGCAAACAGAGUUCCGACCAGAGAUGGAAGGAAUGCUUUUAUUAGAUCAAAACCAAUCGAUGUUGUCAUAUUUUUUGACAUUUAUUUGUUAAUUAAAUAUGUUGCAUCGUUCUAUUUGGUGACUCUGAAUAACUUUAAGCUGAUCGCACGGUCUCGUACCGGCGACGCAUCUUUCAAAUGUCUGCCUUAUCAACUGUCGAUGGUAGGUUCUGCGCCUACCAUGGUUGUAACGGGUAACGGGGAAUCAGGGUUCGAUUCCGGAGAGGGAGCCUGAGAAACGGCUACCACAUCCAAGGAAGGCAGCAGGCGCGCAAAUUACCCACUCCCGGCACGGGGAGGUAGUGACGAAAAAUAACGAUACGGGACUCAUCCGAGGCCCCGUAAUCGGAAUGAGUACACUUUAAAUCCUUUAACAAGGAUCCAUUAGAGGGCAAGUCUGGUGCCAGCAGCCGCGGUAAUUCCAGCUCUAAUAGCGUAUAUUAAAGUUGUUGCGGUUAAAAAGCUCGUAGUCGAAUCUGUGUCUUACACUGUCGGUUCACCGCUCGCGGUGUCCAACUGGCAUGUCAUGUAGGACGUCCUACCGGUGGGUGGUGUAAAUUAUUGUUAUUAUUUCUUUUACCUAACUGUAUAUUGUUUUUCUAUGCACCAUAGUUCAUCGCGGCGUACUAUUAACGGCAGCAUGGCUGUGUUGUUAGUUUUUCUGUAUGUGUGUAUGGCGCUCAAAUGUUUUAUAUGCUACUAUAUAAAUUUAAUAUCAGGGUAUCGGCUUUUCUAUUCAAAACAAAUAUAUUUUAGAUUGUUGUUACAUUUCAAUUUAUUUUGUUAUGUGCACAGUCUCUUUAUAUAUUUGAGAAAAGUGUCAGAUUCUGAUAUGUUUAUAUUUUGUACAUAUUUAUACAUGCUGUAUUACUACAUACAGGCUCAAAAGACUAAUUCAACAAACAGCAUGUUGUUUGUGCGUUUCCGUUGUAUGGCUUGGAUUCAAAUGUAUAUUAAUAACGUAUAUACAGUGAUCAUAGGUGGGAAUAAUAUACAUUCAAAUAAUUUACCGUAAGUGUUUAGCCGUGAAGAACGGCGACAGCCCCCAAUUGCAAUCCUGUCGCGGUGCUCUUAAUUGAGUGUCGAGGUGGGCCGGUACGUUUACUUUGAACAAAUUAGAGUGCUUAAGGCAGGCUAAAAUUUCGCCUGAAUAUUGUGUGCAUGGAAUAAUGGAAUAGGACCUCGGUUCUAUUUUGUUGGUUUUCGGAACUCCGAGGUAAUGAUUAAUACGGACAGAUGGGGGCAUUCGUAUUGCGACGUUAGAGGUGAAAUUCUUGGAUCGUCGCAAGACGGACAGAAGCGAAAGCAUUUGCCAAAAAUGUUUUGAUUGAUCAAGAACGAAAGUUAGAGGUUCGAAGGCGAUCAGAUACCGCCCUAGUUCUAACCAUAAACGAUGCCAGCUAGCGAUCCGCCGAAGUUCUUCCGAUGACUCGGCGGGCAGCUUCCGGGAAACCAAAGCUUUUGGGUUCCGGGGGAAGUAUGGUUGCAAAGCUGAAACUUAAAGGAAUUGACGGAAGGGCACCACCAGGAGUGGAGCCUGCGGCUUAAUUUGACUCAACACGGGAAACCUCACCAGGCCCGGACACCGGAAGGAUUGACAGAUUGAGAGCUCUUUCUUGAUUCGGUGGGUGGUGGUGCAUGGCCGUUCUUAGUUGGUGGAGCGAUUUGUCUGGUUAAUUCCGAUAACGAACGAGACUCUAGCCUGCUAAAUAGACGUACCUUACCGGCAUCUCAAGGCCCAUCGGCUGUAAUGUACCGUUACGCUUGUUGCUCACUUUUUAAUAUAAAUUUAUUCCAGAUGCGCAUUAUAUAUAGUCCACUUAUAUAUUAUACAUAUAUUUGUAUGGCAACAUGCUGUAUAUGCUAUGCUAUAUUUGUUGCGGCUGUAUGUGUGCGUGUUUGGGUAUUUUAUGUUUUGAGUUUGUUAACACGUGCGGUGUACAGUUUUUUGAUGUGGUUUUUACUGCCGGCGUACAUAUUAAUCUUCUUAGAGGGACAGGCGGCUUCUAGCCGCACGAGAUUGAGCAAUAACAGGUCUGUGAUGCCCUUAGAUGUUCUGGGCCGCACGCGCGCUACACUGAAGGAAUCAGCGUGUCCUCCCUGACCGAAAGGUCCGGGUAACCCGCUGAACCUCCUUCGUGCUAGGGAUUGGGGCUUGCAAUUGUUCCCCAUGAACGAGGAAUUCCCAGUAAGCGCGAGUCAUAAGCUCGCGUUGAUUACGUCCCUGCCCUUUGUACACACCGCCCGUCGCUACUACCGAUUGAAUGAUUUAGUGAGGCCUUCGGACUGGUACACGGCAAAGUGUCUAAUUGACAUUUACCGUAGUUGCCGGGAAGAUGGCCAAACUUGAUCAUUUAGAGGAAGUAAAAGUCGUACAGUUU
Molecule: ribosomal RNA, 2580 nt
Filed under: Podallea madegassica
Lineage: Eukaryota; Metazoa; Arthropoda; Insecta; Neuroptera; Berothidae
Description: SSU rRNA
Rfam family: Eukaryotic small subunit ribosomal RNA
Source: RNAcentral